UGAAAGAAAAAAGGUUGCCACAAUUGCAACUAAGGACUUGUUUAGCCUAACUGUUGGAGAAGUGAUAAUCAAUUUUGGUUUGAAGAAUUGAUUUUGGUUAAAACUAGUAGAGCAUCUAGCUAAGUCUAAAUGAAAAAAAAAUAUUUUUUUGAAGUGUGAGAUUUUAAUUAGAGCCAAUCGCCAGCCAACUAAAAAAUGCUGAGCUAGGGUCAUUCAAAAGUCAGUUAAGACUAGCAAGACAUUUAGAGGGAAUGUAGCUAGGUCCAAGAGGUUAAAAGGGUUGAGCGAGCUUAGGGCAUCAGAGUCAUCACUAGCAGAAAAGUGUGAUGUGAAUUUCGGCUGAGUCAUGAUCAAACAAUGCACAAAAACGAGGCUUUCUGGCUGAAUAUCAUUAUGGGUGGAGCAUGGGUUUCCACAAGGUCUACUAAGGCAGUCGGUUAAAGGAUAGCGCCCAGGAAAUUAAGAGAGUUGAAUGAAUUUAGGGCUAUAGUAAUUUUAGGAUGGGUAACUCCCUGGUAAGCGCGACUUCAUAAUAUAGGUGAGAUUUUCUAAUUUUUCAAUCCAAAACCAAAUUAAAAUUUUUUA
This 585-nucleotide long non-coding RNA is filed under the name Ananas comosus (pineapple). RNAcentral describes it as "long non-coding RNA (ACOM_LNC032830)". Lineage: Eukaryota; Viridiplantae; Streptophyta; Magnoliopsida; Poales; Bromeliaceae. The record is from RNAcentral.